RNAcentral lists this ribosomal RNA (514 nucleotides) under uncultured bacterium. RNAcentral describes it as "bacterial SSU rRNA". It matches the Rfam family "Bacterial small subunit ribosomal RNA", at positions 29 to 521 of the family's 1533-position model. The record is from RNAcentral.
AGCGAACGUUAGCGGCGGGCCUAACACAUGCAAGUCGAACGCGAAAGGUCUUCGGACUGAGUAGAGUGGCGCACGGGUGAGUAACACGUAGGUAAUCUACCCUUUGGCGGGGGAUAACGUUCCGAAAGGAGCGCUAAUACCGCAUAAGACCACGGAGUCUCCGGACGCUGUGGGAAAAGGUGGCCUCUUCUUGAAAGCUACCACCGAAGGAUGAGCCUGCGUCCCAUCAGCUAGUUGGUAAGGUAAUGGCUUACCAAGGCGAAGACGGGUAGCUGGUUUGAGAGAAUGAUCAGCCACACUGGCACUGGAACACGGGCCAGACUCCUACGGGAGGCAGCAGUGAGGAAUAUUGGGCAAUGGGCGAAAGCCUGACCCAGCCACGCCGCGUGAGUGAUGAAGGUUUUCGGAUCGUAAAACUCUGUUGUUAGGGAAGAGCAAGUGCCGUUCGAAAGGGCGGCACCUUGACGGUACCUAACGAGAAAGCCACGGCUAACUACGUGCCAGCAGCCGCGGU